GCUUCUGAGAAGUGGUGGCGCACGCCUGUAGUCCCAGCUACCCAGGAGGCUGAGCCCGCUGGGUCGCUUGAGCCCAGGAGUUCUGGGCUUCAAUGUGCUAUGCUGAGUAGGCAUCCGCACUAAGGCUGGCAUCACUGUGGUGAGCCCUGGGGAGCCGGAGCAUAGCAGGUUGACUAAGGAGGGGUGAACUGGCCCAGGUUGGAGAUGGAGCAGGUCAAAGCUCCUGUGCUGGUCAGUAGUGGGAUUGCGCCUGCGAAUAGCCACUGCAGUGUAGCCUGGGCAGCACAGAGAGAUGCGGGUUCCU
Molecule: signal recognition particle RNA, 304 nt
Filed under: Strigops habroptila (Kakapo)
Lineage: Eukaryota; Metazoa; Chordata; Aves; Psittaciformes; Psittacidae
Description: Metazoan signal recognition particle RNA (ENSSHBG00005009986.1)
Rfam family: Metazoan signal recognition particle RNA
About the family: The signal recognition particle (SRP) is a universally conserved ribonucleoprotein. It is involved in the co-translational targeting of proteins to membranes.
Source: Rfam by way of RNAcentral